GACAGAGGGUGCAAACGUUGUUCGGAAUUACUGGGCGUAAAGCGCGUGUAGGCGGCUAUGCAAGUCGGGUGUGAAAUCCCGGGGCUCAACCCCGGAACUGCACUCGAUACUGCCGUGCUCGAGUACUGGAGAGGAGACUGGAAUUUACGGUGUAGCAGUGAAAUGCGUAGAUAUCGUAAGGAAGACCGGUGGCGAAGGCUAGUCUCUGGACAGUUACUGACACUGAGGCACGAAGGCCAGGGGAGCAAACGGG
This 253-nucleotide ribosomal RNA is filed under the name uncultured bacterium. RNAcentral's name for it is "partial 16S ribosomal RNA". It matches the Rfam family "Bacterial small subunit ribosomal RNA", at positions 524 to 776 of the family's 1533-position model. The record is from RNAcentral.